UGGGGAAUAUUGGACAAUGGGCGCAAGCCUGAUCCAGCCAUGCCGCGUGAGUGAUGAAGGCCCUAGGGUUGUAAAGCUCUUUCACCGGUGAAGAUAAUGACGGUAACCGGAGAAGAAGCCCCGGCUAACUUCGUGCCAGCAGCCGCGGUAAUACGAAGGGGGCUAGCGUUGUUCGGAUUUACUGGGCGUAAAGCGCACGUAGGCGGACUAUUAAGUCAGGGGUGAAAUCCCGGGGCUCAACCCCGGAACUGCCUUUGAUACUGGUAGUCUUGAGUUGGGGAGAGGUGGGUGGAAUUCCGAGUGUAGAGGUGAAAUUCGUAGAUAUUCGGAGGAACACCAGUGGCGAAGGCGGCUCACUGGCUCGAUACUGACGCUGAGGUGCGAAAGCGUGGGGAGCAAACAGG
RNAcentral lists this ribosomal RNA (404 nucleotides) under Actinomycetes bacterium. RNAcentral's name for it is "Actinobacteria bacterium partial 16S ribosomal RNA". It matches the Rfam family "Bacterial small subunit ribosomal RNA", at positions 355 to 776 of the family's 1533-position model. The record is from RNAcentral. Lineage: Bacteria; Bacillati; Actinomycetota; Actinomycetes.